UUGACGCAGAGCCUGUUUUGUGCAGGAUUACAAUUCUCCUGUUUUUGCCAUAACCUCCUCCUCCACUUUCCUCCUCAUGCUCCCUUGACUAUCACUGUCUUUCAUCCCCUGCAGUGCUCCUCGUUCGCUCUUUCAUUCUUCACUGUGCUGCUUGUUUGCUAAGUUACGCCGAGGGCACCAACGCAGGAACAGGCUCCUAAGAGCCUGCACUCUAAAACAAAGCCCGCACCCGUGGCGACCAAAGCUGCCGAAAAGUUGAUCGGGACAUGUGCCUGAUCAGUAUGUGAUUUAUACGGUCAAUGAAAGGUAAAAAAUGCAGAUAACAUUGCCGUGUCAUGCAACGGCUCGUGGAUGACACACGACAACUCAUCCCGUAUAGGUGUCGACAUGGUGAUGGAGCUGUUGACAGGCAUCGUCCUCGAUAUUGUGACGCUCAAAACAUCUUGUGCUGGCUGCGAACAGGCACCAAAAGAUGAUGGCCUGACCUACCAGGCUUGCAAGAAGGAUCAUGUGGCAGAAGAACACUAUUAAGAGAGCCACUGAAAUGGAACUUGAAGCUUCAGUGAUUCUUUUUCGAAGGGCGCUGUAAAGGCGUAAGAUGUGGUACAGGACUUUACUUUCGGAUGAUGACAGCCGCACCUUCAAAGCAGAAGUGCUCUGGAACUGGCAGCCUUGGAGGCAAGGAUGUUUCCAUGCCGCCUGAAAAAAACAUCGUACCAGUUGUAUUGCUCGGGCUUCGACUGUAAACCAGCUCAUCAGAUUCUUGAACUGCAUCCAUUUUUUUUUUCUUUGCUACGUGACAAAGCCGUUUGAUCUACAAUUGAUUACCCUUUUGAUGGUGAUAUGACUCUUUGCUGAUUGCCGUCUAUGCUUCUCUUGUCUUGAACGAGUCUAAUGGCAAAUUCACUUGCUGCGCCAUCAUUUUACUGAAAUAAUGAAAAAAAAAAGGUUUUAUUGCACUGACUGCCGUGUAAUCAUCCGGGUAAAAUAAAGAUACACUGCAAUGUACAAAUAGAGAAUGUAA
This 1024-nucleotide long non-coding RNA is filed under the name Dermacentor andersoni. Its description in RNAcentral is "uncharacterized LOC126528125". The record is from RNAcentral. Lineage: Eukaryota; Metazoa; Arthropoda; Arachnida; Ixodida; Ixodidae.